Molecule: ribosomal RNA, 407 nt
Filed under: uncultured Halobacteria archaeon
Lineage: Archaea; Methanobacteriati; Methanobacteriota; Halobacteria
Description: bacterial SSU rRNA
Rfam family: Archaeal small subunit ribosomal RNA
Source: RNAcentral
AGUUGUACGUUUAACGUAGCGAACGGCUCAGUAACACGUGGCCAAGCUACCCUGUGGACCGCCAUAACCUCGGGAAACUGAGGCUAAUAGCGGAUAUCGCUCCCACGCUGGAAUGCCGGGAGCGUGAAAGGCUCCGGCGCCACAGGAUGCGGCUGCGGCCGAUUAGGUAGACGGUGGGGUAACGGCCCACCGUGCCGAUAAUCGGUACGGGUUGUGAGAGCAAGAGCCCGGAGACGGACUCUGAGACAAGAGUCCGGGCCCUACGGGGCGCAGCAGGCGCGAAACCCUUACCCUGCACGCCAGUGCGAUAGGGGGACACCGAGUGCGAGGGCAUANAGCCCUCGCUUUUGUGUACCGUAAGGUGGUACACGAAUAAGGGCUGGGCAAGACCGGUGCCAGCCGCCGCG